Molecule: ribosomal RNA, 514 nt
Filed under: uncultured bacterium
Lineage: Bacteria
Description: bacterial SSU rRNA
Rfam family: Bacterial small subunit ribosomal RNA
Source: RNAcentral
CGAAAGUCUGACGGAGCAACGCCGCGUGAGUGAAGAAGGUUUUCGGAUCGUAAAGCUCUGUCUUCAGGGACGAAUGUGCUUAAUGUGAAUAAUGUUAAGUAAUGACGGUACCUGAGGAGGAAGCCACGGCUAACUACGUGCCAGCAGCCGCGGUAAUACGUAGGUGGCAAGCGUUGUCCGGAAUUAUUGGGCGUAAAGCGCGCGCAGGCGGGAAUGUAAGUCUGUCUUAAAAGUUCGGGGCUCAACCCCGUGAUGGGAUGGAAACUACAUUUCUUGAGUGCAGGAGAGGAAAGUGGAAUUCCUAGUGUAGCGGUGAAAUGCGUAGAUAUUAGGAGGAACACCAGUGGCGAAGGCGACUUUCUGGACUGUGUCUGACGCUGAGGCGCGAAAGCCAGGGGAGUGAACGGGAUUAGAUACCCCGGUAAUCCUGGCCGUAAACGAUGGGUACUAGGUGUAGGAGGUAUCGACCCCUUCUGUGCCGGAGUUAACGCAAUAAGUACCCCGCCUGGGGAGU